RNAcentral lists this transfer RNA (73 nucleotides) under Mus musculus (house mouse). Its description in RNAcentral is "tRNA-Ser". Lineage: Eukaryota; Metazoa; Chordata; Mammalia; Rodentia; Muridae. The record is from RNAcentral.
GGAGAGAUGGCUCAGCAGUUAAAAGCACUGACUGCUCUUCCAGAGGUCCUGAGUUCAAUUCCCAGCAACUCCG